UUUGGCUAGCAAUCUUGUUACAGAGGCAACCCUAACACUAGGUUCUUGUGCCAAAUGGUUCCCAAAGAUGGGCUCGUAUAGCUCAAUAUCAUUCACGAGAUGCUAACCUACACAGGCAUUCACGUCCAAGAUAAGCCCUGCUCCACCUCCACACCAUCCUGCAGGAUCUCUGUGAAAAGUUGCCGCAAUGGAUUUUGCAACAUUUCUUCCCAUUUUGUCUUGUUUGGAUCCAAAAGAAGCUUGUCUUGGUGGGAUUCCAACAUUGUUUGCACUCGUGCUUUGGUUGAUAUGCUUAUUUCUUCUGAAGAAGUUGAAUUCCAGUACUGGUGCAUUGCACAUGGAACCUGGAAGUAAUCAUGUAAUUUAGGGCGUAGGACUUGGGAGUAUCUUCGUAGAGAGAGACAUAUGUGAACAUCUUUCUGAUUUUGAGAGAGAGUUUGGGCUGGAGACAAAUUGUUAAGUCACGGGGG
This 470-nucleotide long non-coding RNA is filed under the name Elaeis guineensis (African oil palm). RNAcentral describes it as "long non-coding RNA (EGUI_LNC023750)". Lineage: Eukaryota; Viridiplantae; Streptophyta; Magnoliopsida; Arecales; Arecaceae. The record is from RNAcentral.